This is a long non-coding RNA of Brassica rapa (field mustard), 1261 nucleotides long. RefSeq lists it as uncharacterized. NCBI's taxonomy places the organism in Eukaryota, Viridiplantae, Streptophyta, Magnoliopsida, Brassicales, Brassicaceae. The record is from RefSeq and is a predicted model, not a curated record.
UUUGAAAUAAUAUUUUUAUUAUAAAAUAUGAAAUAUAAAGUUUAAUGUUUGAUUUAUAUUUUUAAAAAUAUAAUUAAUAAUUUAUUAUGUUGGUUUUGAUUUAAUAUUUAUAAAAAAUAUCUAUAAAAACACUAUGCCCGCAUGUGCGGGCAGAACACCUAGUUUUAAAGUAUUAUGCAAUUGGUACUCACCAGACAUCAGCUAGAUAGAGACUCCGCAAAUGUUCAUUUUCUUUAUAAAAUUUUUGAUGUUUUUUAAUAGAAAAGUUUGAUGUUUAAUAUUCUCAAAAUAGUUACUAAAAUUUGCUUACACCAGUUUUAUCUAAAUAUUUUUAAGUAAUAUUUGAAAUUUAUGUUUAUUGGAGUUUAGUGCUUGGAUCUAUUUUGUUUUUUUUUUCUGAUCUUGAUCUCUUAUGCCAUCAAACAGCGUCGAAGAGAAGAUCUGCUUCAAAUCGAAGUGUUCGGCGUGGAUUUCUUUCUUUUGACUCUCUUGAGUUCAUGGGUUUUGGUUACGGAUUGUGCAGAGUAGCGGAGGGUGGUCUUCACAGCUCGUUUUGAGGUGUAAUGGGACGAACGGUCCUUCCUGUCUUUGUUUAUGUAUUUCACUGAAGGUCAUUCUACUCGGUGGCACAUGCAUGGUUUAUGUUCUAUUGUGUGGCUGUGUCUGGUUCUUGGUCUCCGCGCAAGAAGGUUCUUUGGAGUUUCCAAAGCGCUAAGUCAUCUAUAGCUUUGGUGUUCGAUGAUUCUUCGUCCUUCUUCGCUAUCUUCCUUAUAUACCAGUGGUUCAUUGGUUUAUCAUCCUUUUUGAAGUUUUGUAGAGUCCUUCGGUUCUCAAAGACAUGCAUAUGGCGGCUACAUUUGGUUGGUCGGGUGUUCUCCAACUCGGGAUGCUCAUCGAUGACUCCAUAUGCUAGGAGUAACUCAUCCUUAUGCUGGUGUAGUCUGUUGGUCUAUCUUGUUGGGGUACGUCCUUUCCUUAUUUGUGCAGGUUGAGAGCAUUUUAGGCAAUGAGGCAGCUGCCAUCCAAACCCGUUUUUUUUUGGUUGGUGAUAAAUUCAAAAUUUUAUUGAUGGUUGAAGAUGUAACAGGUAGGAGAAAGCGGAUAACUGAUCCAACCAUUGAAAUGGAAGUCGGAUCCAUAGUAAUGAUAAAACGACUUGGUUGUGUGUCUUUCGUUCGUGUUGGGUUCAAAAUUGGAAAGUGACCCGUCUAUGUGUCCGGCGAAAAUGUACAUGUAGUAAAGUCGUACGGAUUUUAUUCGA